RNAcentral lists this ribosomal RNA (301 nucleotides) under uncultured bacterium. RNAcentral describes it as "partial 16S ribosomal RNA". It matches the Rfam family "Bacterial small subunit ribosomal RNA", at positions 509 to 809 of the family's 1533-position model. The record is from RNAcentral.
CAGUAGCCGCGGUAAUACGAAGGGGGCUAGCGUUGCUCGGAAUUACUGGGCGUAAAGGGAGCGUAGGCGGACUGUUUAGUCAGAGGUGAAAGCCCAGGGCUCAACCUUGGAACUGCCUUUGAUACUGGCAGUCUUGAGUACGGAAGAGGUAUGUGGAACUCCGAGUGUAGAGGUGAAAUUCGUAGAUAUUCGGAAGAACACCAGUGGCGAAGGCGACGUACUGGUCCGUUACUGACGCUGAGGCUCGAAAGCGUGGGGAGCAAACAGGAUUAGAUACCCCUGUAGUCCCUGUCUCUUAUAA